RNAcentral lists this ribosomal RNA (33 nucleotides) under Thanatephorus cucumeris. Its description in RNAcentral is "partial 18S ribosomal RNA". RNAcentral also lists the same sequence under 3 other names. The record is from RNAcentral. Lineage: Eukaryota; Fungi; Basidiomycota; Agaricomycetes; Cantharellales; Ceratobasidiaceae.
UCCGUAGGUGAACCUGCGGAAGGAUCAUUAUCG